UAUGCAGUGAUUCGCCACUUGCUGUAAACGCAUCGCCAACAAUUCCCGCUGCUGUGUUCUCUUCUGUUUUUAUCAUCAAUUAAAAAGGCUCCGUUUCGUUAGGGGCAUUUUUGCCCCCUCCCGAAAAUGGAAAGAAGCAGCAAACAGCCCUCGGAGAAGGCACAAAGCUCUUCUGAGAAAUGUCUAGCAGAGACAGCUUCUUACAGUAACACUUUAUUUUAAUGGUCCUUUAAUGCAGAAAUUGACCAUGGUCGUCCCUCUUAGGCCUCAUUCACCCUAAAUAAAAAUGACCUUGUUGCCAGAGAUGGGUCCUAACAAGGUAUCAACCCCGGGGGUAGCCCAGGGGAGGCAGCGGGGCAAGAGAAAUGCCCUCUCUCUGCGGCGGCUGCAAUUCCUGCCUGUGACCUUGCACCCUCCCAUCCAGCUUUCCAUUUCCUUAUUUAGAUGAGGCUCCCUUAUACUUGGAGGGAACGAUUUCUCUGCUGGGACUCCAUGGCUAUCAGCUUUCUGAGAAGUGGUUUGUUCUUCCAAGAAACCAAAGGGAGCCUGGUUGGUGUGCGUGCUGGCUUGUGGCUGAGCCGAGGGAGCCACGGAGGGCAGCUCACGACAGACCAUCAGGACACCGGGCUCCUGAGCCCUCGACAUCCACUCAUCACGAGCCGCAGGUUGAAGGCUGAACCACUGAACAUGAUAAUGAGAAUGUGUGAGGACCCUGGUUCGACACUUGCCCUGCGUUGAGAAGUGUUGGAGAAGGGGGCUGCCGGGAGAGACACAGUGCCCUCAGCCCAGAUAUGGGUUUCUAAGAAGAAAGAGAAUUGUAAAGCUCUGAUCCUUUAAAACGCUGGAGAAACCUCCUGGGAGGAAGUGAGACUUGUCUGAGGGCUGAUAGAAGAACGAGUAUCAUUAAAUGCACUCGAAAAAGAAGAUCAUUCCAGGGACAAGACUUUACAGAAGUACCGAUGCGAGAAUGAGGGGUCCAAACUCUCUAGAAGACUCCAAUGAAUGGAGACAGGCCUCAGUCAAUUUUACACCAUGAGUGCAAGUUUAAGCUGGAUUAGUCUGGCCCUGCUAAGUACCUUGCUCAGGAACUGAAAUAUUAUAGCUGCAACAUGGCUAGCAGAGGAAAUGAAAUGGAAGCCUAUAAACCCUGAAGUGGAUAGCAGGAGCGCAAAUUCAGAGAACGAAGCAAAGUUUUAUUUUGGGGCUGUACCGUAAAGGCGACUUAGGUAGACCCAAGGGCCAGGGUUCUGUGUGCAUGUGUGCGGGCCCUUAGUGAUCAUUAACUUUGGAGGGGGAAAAAAAUGUUACAUGGCCCUGCAAAUAAAAAUGAUGAAGGUAUUUCUUGUAGCUAUUUCUGUGUGUCAUGAAAACAGCAGGAUUUUUUAGAAUGGGCUGAUAUUCUUUAUCCCAGUCCUCCCUAAAGGGAAUUACAGAGCUGAGACCUGUAGGAAUUUAUUGGUCUGACGGGAAGAAAGCACAGCACCAAAAGGAACUCACACAUUCCCAGUGACUCACUUGCGUCUCUAUCUGAAUGCAAAGCCUGGCCUUAUUUCUUGAAACCAGCUUUCUGGUAGACUGUUUAAGAGUUAAGGGAUUACAAGAAUAAGUCAUUGAUCCCCCAUUUCUAAGGCUAACAAAGAAUUUCAUAUUACUGAAACCAGACAUUGCCUUUAAACCGACAGAUUUUAACCAGAGGGGAGGCGGGAGGGUGUUUUGUGUUUGCCUUGUGAUGAUUUGAAAGUUGCGUGACAUUCUUGGGAAGAAAAGAAAGAGAAAACAUUGCAUCUUCCGAGAGCAUUUUUCCACGCUCUCCUUGAGAAAGGCAAAUUAGAAAUUAUCUUGGACAGAGUGUGCAAAAUGGAAUGACCCAAAGCUCUUUGAAGGGUGGCCUAUCUUUUUAAAUCAAGCAGCAUGAUUUACUGUGUACUUAGAAGACACACUGUUUUCAGUCAGAACAAUUCCAGGUGAAAGAUGAGGUACUUAUAGAUGAGAUAGUUCCAUAGCUCUAUUGAUGAAAGCAAGCCAAAUAAAUAUUUUACAGCCCUUUUGACAAAAUGCUUUGAUUAAAGGAAUUACAGGUAGAGACAACCUGCCGCUGAUGAAGAUGAGGGUCUUCAACAACAUAAAGCAACUGAGUUUUAAAACAAAUACACCAACCUUAACACAUUUCAAUAAAUAUCGCUUCCCUCUCCCAAAGGGGUUACCUUACGAAGCUAUAAGCUUUCAAUAAGGCUGCAGCAAUUUCUUGAAAGAGUUUCUGACUUCUCUGUUUCAGCCUUCAGGGAGAGCAGUCUAUCGUUUUGACUAUCUUCAAAAAUAAGGGAACUUCAACACAUGAAAAUAGAUUUUCAUUUUUGAAAAGUAAUCAAAAGUCCAUUGGAAGGAAGUCUGGAGACUGAGAGGUGGUGAAGCUCAGUAAUACUGCUUUUCUUUAAAAAUAAGUUGUAAGUUGAACACAAAGGGGUGACUUCUAAGCACCUUCGAAAUUGGAUCUGGAGAUAAUUUUCAAGAAUCACGAAAAUGAUUUGUUGAAGUAAGUGUAAUGACUCCCAACUACUUCGAAAGGAGAAAAGAUCGGUCUUUGCGUAUUUAGACAUUUCAUACUUAAAUAUUCUAAUAUUUAUACAACCAUUCGGAGAUGGAUAUAUGUAGCAAAAUGUAAAAUGUGCAUACCCUCUGUCCGUUGAAGUCAUUCCCCUUCAAAGACAUCAUCCUGCAGAUAAAAGGAGGAGUAAACAAAAAUACCUAUGGAACACGAUUCAUCACCGAAGUAGAGAAAAACUAAGACAGACUCAUUGUCACCAGUUAGGGAUAAGUUAAAUAAAAAAUACUGUAGCCACAGUAGAAACCAUGAGAUUGUUUAAAAGGAU
This is a long non-coding RNA of Acinonyx jubatus (cheetah), 2870 nucleotides long. RefSeq lists it as uncharacterized. Lineage: Eukaryota; Metazoa; Chordata; Mammalia; Carnivora; Felidae. The transcript is spliced from 3 exons. The record is from RefSeq and is a predicted model, not a curated record.